Glossina fuscipes is the source of this 231-nucleotide long non-coding RNA. RefSeq lists it as uncharacterized. The record is from RefSeq and is a predicted model, not a curated record. The transcript is spliced from 2 exons. Lineage: Eukaryota; Metazoa; Arthropoda; Insecta; Diptera; Glossinidae.
UAGAGAGAGCAACAGGAAGAAGAAGAGGGAAAUGAAGUAAAAAGGAGAAGUCUGUCUGCGUUUUAAAAUUUAAGUGAGGGGAGAUAGAGUUAGUUGAGUUUGAGCCGAGGAUUGAAUUGGUUGUGAUCGCACAACAAAAAGGUGAUAUCAAAGAGUAUGUGUUGUUGGUCUUCUCUACUUUGCCUUCAUUAAGCAAAUAAUGCAAUUGUAAUUAAAUAGAAGAAAAAAAAA